This 229-nucleotide ribosomal RNA is filed under the name uncultured bacterium. RNAcentral's name for it is "partial 16S ribosomal RNA". It matches the Rfam family "Bacterial small subunit ribosomal RNA", at positions 568 to 796 of the family's 1533-position model. The record is from RNAcentral.
CGUGUAGGCGGGACAGUCAGUCGGAGGUGAAAGGUACGAGCUUAACUCGUAGAUUGCCUUCGAUACUGCUGUUCUUGAGUGCAGGAGAGGGUAGUGGAAUUCCCGGUGUAGCGGUGGAAUGCGCAGAUAUCGGGAGGAACACCCGUGGCGAAGGCGGCUACCUGGCCUGACACUGACGCUGAGGCGCGAAAGCGUAGGGAGCAAACAGGAUUAGAUACCCGAGUAGUCC